RNAcentral lists this ribosomal RNA (929 nucleotides) under Thalassobacillus devorans. RNAcentral describes it as "bacterial SSU rRNA". It matches the Rfam family "Bacterial small subunit ribosomal RNA", at positions 55 to 952 of the family's 1533-position model. Lineage: Bacteria; Bacillati; Bacillota; Bacilli; Caryophanales; Bacillaceae. The record is from RNAcentral.
AUGCAGUCGAGCGCGGGAAGCAAGCGGAUCCCCUUCGGGGGUGACGCUUGUGGAACGAGCGGCGGACGGGUGAGUAACACGUGGGCAACCUGCCUGUAAGACUGGGAUAACCCCGGGAAACCGGGGCUAAUACCGGAUAACACUGGACUCCACAUGGAGGCUAGUUGAAAGAUGGCUUCUUGCUAUCACUUACAGAUGGGCCCGCGGCGCAUUAGCUAGUUGGUGAGGUAACGGCUCACCAAGGCGACGAUGCGUAGCCGACCUGAGAGGGUGAUCGGCCACACUGGGACUGAGACACGGCCCAGACUCCUACGGGAGGCAGCAGUAGGGAAUCUUCCGCAAUGGACGAAAGUCUGACGGAGCAACGCCGCGUGAACGAUGAAGGUCUUCGGAUCGUAAAGUUCUGUUGUCAGGGAAGAACAAGUGCCGUGCGAAUAGAGCGGCACCUUGACGGUACCUGACGAGGAAGCCCCGGCUAACUACGUGCCAGCAGCCGCGGUAAUACGUAGGGGGCAAGCGUUGUCCGGAAUUAUUGGGCGUAAAGCGCGCGCAGGCGGUUCCUUAAGUCUGAUGUGAAAGCCCACGGCUCAACCGUGGAGGGUCAUUGGAAACUGGGGAACUUGAGUACAGAAGAGGAGAGUGGAAUUCCACGUGUAGCGGUGAAAUGCGUAUAUAUGUGGAGGAACACCAGUGGCGAAGGCGACUCUCUGGUCUGUAACUGACGCUGAGGCGCGAAAGCGUGGGGAGCAAACAGGAUUAUAUACCCUGGUAGUCCACGCCGUAAACGAUGAGUGCUAGGUGUUAGGGGGCUUCCACCCCCUUAGUGCUGAAGUAACACAUUAAGCACUCCGCCUGGGGAGUACGGACGCCAGGCUGAAACUCAAAAGAAUUGAUGGGGCCCGCACAGCGGUGGAGNAUGUGUUUAAUUC